RNAcentral lists this ribosomal RNA (430 nucleotides) under uncultured archaeon. Its description in RNAcentral is "bacterial SSU rRNA". It matches the Rfam family "Archaeal small subunit ribosomal RNA", at positions 474 to 903 of the family's 1478-position model. The record is from RNAcentral.
UACCAGCUCUCCGAGUGGUGUGGAUGUUUAUUGGGCCUAAAGCAUCCGUAGCUGGCUGGGCAAGUCCCCUGUUAAAUCCACCGAUUUAAUCGUUGGAGUGCGGGGGAUACUGCUCGGCUAGGGGACGGGAGAGGCAGACGGUAUUUUCGGGGUAGGGGUGAAAUCCUAUAAUCCCGAGAAGACCACCAGUGGCGAAGGCUGUCUGCUAGAACGUGCCCGACGGUGAGGGAUGAAAGCUGGGGGGAGCGAACCGGAUUAGAUACCCGGGUAGUCCCAGCUGUAAACGAUGUAGGCUAGGUGUUUGGACGGCCACGUGCCGUUCUAGUGCCGCAGGGAAGCCGUUAAGCCUGCCGCCUGGGGAGUACGGCCGCAAGGCUGAAACUUAAAGGAAUUGGCGGGGGAGCACCACAAGGGGUGAAGCUCGCGGUUU